AAGCAUUUGUCUUAACUUGAGAACAAAAUGGAAUUCUAAUUAAAGUAGUUACAAGAAAAGAAAAAUCAUGACAUUAAGAUAACAUGUAAUCUUGGAAGAGUUUAAAAAUAGCAAUUUCUGUCUCCCAAAGUGGUAUGAUUUUGAUUCCCUUAGGCAUAGAGAACUUUGUUUACGGUGGUUUAACUUUGCAGUUUGAUAGAAGUCAGUAUCUUCAAAAAACUAAAACAAAACCUAGGAACUCAGGGAUGGAGUGAUACCCGUAUCUGUGUGACACAUUAGCUAUUUUGUCAGUUCUAUAUUCCCAAGUUGGAAUUUAAUAUAAAAGAAAUACCUCAUUACUUUGUUCUAAAUCGUGUCUGAUCCAACAUGGAAGAAAUAGAUUUGGGGGGCUUUCUUAUUAGAAAAAAAUCGUAUCUUUGACUGAAUGAAAUAGUUCCUGCAAAAAGCAACUUGGAAUUCACCUUUGGUCUCCUUCCUGUCUUUAGCCUAUUUUCUAUAAAAAAGGUUUCUAGAUUUUAGGGUCUGCUUAGUUUUGGUUAUCUCAGCUGUAAUAAGUAGCCUUGGGACCCCCGAAGGCACACCCCACACACUUAUGCUGCGUGACCUAAGGUCACAAGUAAUGGCCGCAAGCUAAUUGAUUGAGAAAGGCUUGUCUGGCGGGGCCUCUUUGCGUCCUCUCUUUACAUUCCUUAGUCCUGUGAAAGAGGCACUGGCCGCUCAGCUAGCAAGGAAGGAAAAAAGAGAGGAAGUUUCUCCGCGUUCUGAUUACUCUCUGAAUUCCCUUGUAGCGAGCUUACUUCUCUCCACCCACUUCUUACCGAGAACUUAAUUUGAAGGUGAACAACUUAAAGCCUGUUCCCAGAGAGGUCCCCGAAAGGUGAUUUGAGUGUUUACCGAACUGAAGGAACAAAUUACCUACUUGAGGCGGUGGGCAGCGUACGGAAACGCUAUUAGAACUUCAGCAAAGUGCACAGCUGCCUAAUACCGAAGCCGGGACUCAGAUUGAUAGGCAAAUCAGCCAGCUCCUGGAAGGGCCCUCUGGGUGGCGGCUCCGGGCUGGGCUAGUGGGUGCUGGACAACUGUAGGCAAAACAGAAAUGAAGCAGGGGCAGCAGAUAGCACACUUUUACGCCACGCAACUGUUGCUUUCGCAUGGUUAUUGAUCAUUAAAAUGGCAUUGUAAAGGGAUGACUCAGAAAUAACAGAGCUUGUUGCUGCUUCUGAGAUAAAGAAAAUUCUCGAUGUCAAGAUUUAAAUAGAGAAGAGAAUGAGAUAUACAAAAUGGGUAUUCUUGAAGUUAAUCAGAGAAAUAUUCAUGCACCUGUAAAGGGAAAAACUUAAAAUGGAUAUGAGAAGUGAAGAAAGUGAUCAUAGGAGAAAAUCAUCUCAGAUCAACCACUUCAGAAGAACCAGAUUCCACUUCUGUGGCCAGGACUUUUAUGUUAUGGCUGGUCCGAUUGUUAUACACUGCGUUUUAUGCUACUAAACCUUGGAUCAUUCCUAAAGUACCAAUUCUGUUCUUGAACCACAAACAAGGCUAAAAGAUCGGAGGAAAUUCAGUGAAUAUGCAGGAUUGGGAUUGUGUAUUUUCAAAAGUAUUGAGCUUUAUAAUGCAAUUAUUUAAGAAAUAGAAUCUUUUUUUUUUUCUUCUCAUGUUGCCAGCAUUUUAAGUUACAUGUUUAUUAAGUGGCAUUGCUCAAAUAGCUACAGAGUAUGCAUGGAAAUAUUUGCUGUCUGAAUAGUUUGGAGAUUCAAAGAGAAAAAUCAAGCUUCAGAGGUAUUAAGUUAUAACAUGCAAAAAAAGUUUUCGUUUUAUUCUUAGCUGCAACAGUAUAUAUUUAAAUCAGAUUUAAAGUGUUAUAUGUCCUUGGCCCACCUUAACAGUUGUACUGUAAAGAAGUGUAAUGGGAAGCAGAAUUUCAAUUAGAGUCCCAUUAACUGGCAUAUAAUCCUUCUUUAAUGUAAUAGAGGCUAUGGUGUUUCUGUACAAAUCUGCUAGAAACAGAUUUUAACCCAUUUUUAGUCUCUUUCUUUGGAUCUGAUGGAAUGACUCUUAACUGUUCAUUGUCUGCAUUGUUUCUCAUAUUCUUCAUUAUUUUAAGGUCUGGAAUUAGUCUAUAAAUGGUCGUCGUGAAUAUUCAGCUAAUCCUAACUUUUAUAUAUCCUAUAUAUUUCUACGUAUGUAUUUUAAUUAGUAUUUAGAGGAAAAAGUUUAACUGAACCCAACUGUAAUUUCUAAACUAGCCUUAUUACUGGAAGAAGAAUUCUACCGCAUCAAACCAGACUUUUCCUAGUCCCUGAGACCCUAACUUGUGAGGUAUUUUAGUAACAUCACAAGUCAGGCUCUUGGGACCUAGGCGGAGGGGAACCAGCAGCUUUGGACCUUAUUGAUUGUCUGCAGUUACCACCAGAACAAAAGAACAUACAUAGAUUCUGCCUAGGAGAAAAGAACAAUGCUUUUCUUUAUAAUCAGCAAUGUUUUCAUCAUGACCCACCCCCAAAUAUACUAUUUUCAGAAACUGUACUCAAAAGUGAUUAUAGAGUUGCACUGAGUAGCAUUUGUAUUAUAUUAUAAAGACCAUAUGAAAGCAAUAGAAGAUAACUAUGUGAGAAGCAAAGUUAAAAUACAGGUGUUUUUAAAAUGCUUCUUUUAAUGUAUUUUGAGAGAGUCUAAGAGAAUACCUCCUUAGUUAAUAAGGAAGAGAGUGGUUUAUAUUUAAAACUUCUUUCAUAUGCAUAGAAAUAUAUACAUUAGCUACUUACAUAAAUCCUAUAUGUCUCCAUGUAAUUAUGGCUCAGAAUAUGUAAUGUAUAGCUAUAAUCAUGCUUGAGGCCUAGAAAUAAAUCAUUUACAAUCUUCUUUACUGACCCUAUUAGUUUUUACUACUGAUUUAAGGAGAAUGCUAUUUUAUACUUGGUAUUUACUCCCAGAGUUUUCCUUAGUCUUUUAACCAGACGAAAUACUUUAUAUGCCAUAUUUUAAUAAGGCAUACUCUGGUUGUAAGAGUCAUCAGUAAUUAGCAAAAAUAUGGUACCUUUUCGUCUUUACAUUUUACUUUGUAUAUAUAUCAUGAACCUAUGUGAGAUAAAUCAGUAAACACCACCUAUGAAGUCAGACUGCUCUAUUCAUGUGUCAACUGAAUCUGAACUGCAUAGUUUUCGUUUUUUAAGAAUUUCAGUUUUAUAAACUAUUCCAACUAUAACUACCAUGUCAUAUUUGAACAUUAUUAGCCAUUACCACAUCACAUAUUUAUUUCUUGUAAGUGGAAUCAGUAUAUUAAACCCCUUUACAGAUUUUACAAUAAUAUUGCAGAUACUAAGAUUCAAAAUGGAGAUGACAGACUUUCCAUAAUAGAAGAACCGAAAUGAUUUCAUUCUCUUAACUCUAAUGCUUUACAUGGGUGCUAUAAAUUAUAUGUAUCUUCUGCAUUGUUAAAAUAAAUGUAUGAAUGUACUUUAGAACACUGUAUGGAGUCUUUGUUCACCUUUUCAUUGGAUUUAUUACAAUUACUCAUGUUUGAAAUAUCCCAGGAUCCUAAUCACCCAUGACUUGUAUUUCCUGAAAAAUUGAUACUACAAUAUUAUAAACAUAUUCUUCAUCUAUACAAGCCACAUAGAAUAUGUUUAAGCAUGUGUCCACACUGUACCUAUUCAGAUUCCUUAUUUAUAUCACCUAUUUCAUUUAUCUAGAAUCUCUGAAAUUUUAAGUGUGUAUAUGUGUGUGUAUAAACAUAGGUUUUAAAACUCCAUCUGAAAGGAGGUAAUAUAAACAGUGAAGAUUUUUGGUAGUAUUGAUCUUUUACUUGUUUUAACCACGUUUUCAUUAUAAUUAGACAGCUUUAAAAGCACAAGUUUCUCAAUUCAAAGAACUCUAUGUGUAUGUAUCUACAAGUGCAUAGAGACUUGAUUAUAUUUAAUAGCAAUGUUUAUAUAUCCGAUCAGGAAUGACCUCAUAUAUAAAACAAUGUCACAUACAGGUAUAUGUUUGCAGACACCUGAUUCAACACAAUCAUAAAUAACACGUAAAAGGUGUUUCAUAAAUUUACUUCUAAAAUAAUAUAAGGGAUGAUUGUUUAUUGGCUAUAGUGAUAUCAGAUAUAAGCUAUUUCAAAUGCAAUAUUUUCUAUGUUAUUAUAUCUAUGAACUGCACUAUAUAUUAACUUCUGUUUCAUAGAAGAAAAAUGCCAGAGCUGAAUUUAGCGUGCAGUGAUGUUUAUCUUGCUUUUUUACUAAUCAUCGUGCAUUCGUUGAACCCUCUCAAUGUAACCUUCCUGCAUAUAAACUAUCUUUUCUGAGAACAUCAUUGAUAAAGCUUUUCUCUUACUCCAUAAAGGUGAGUAGAGAUAUAAGUGGGUGACUUUGUUUAUAUAAAACUACUUUAUGCUGUAUAUGGAUAGAUGAAUGCCACUUUUUCUGCAUUUCUACCUAAGCUGUCACAGAAUAAUAUUGUUUGGGGGGUAUAAAAUAUGAUUUGGAAAAUCAGAUCAUACUAAGCUUAAAAUAAAAGGAGAGGUCUACAACAAAGAACGAGAAAAUUAUGUGUGUUGCAUACAAAAAAAAAAAAAAAAAAAGCAGUGAUAUUAACAAUUCGAUGGCUUCCUGGUUGGGAGACCAGCCUGAGCCAGACGCAUAUAUUAAGAGCUGUCUGCUGCCGAUGUGAGCUUGCUCAAUGCGGUGGAAAUGAGGAAUCACCUCCUCUCUGACACCAGCUUAUUUUCACAUUUUAAUUUUGAAAUAGCAAAUCACUGUUUUACAUAAAUAUACUAACCUCCGCUUGAUUCUUAUUCUUUUCUCAGAUUGCUUGUUAAUUUACUAUGAACUUCAAGUUCCUUUUUUAAAAAUCAUCACUCACUUUAAACUUAUCAGUUUAAAAUCUAUCAAAGACCAAUGAAGUAUUAGUUUUUUUCUGUCUCUUUUGUAUUGCUCUGUUAAUAUUGUGAUACUCAUGCAUUUAACUUUUAAUCUCUGUAAGGAAAAUGUCAAUUUUCCAAAAUGGCAUUUUUUUUUAGGUCUUUUAGGAUCCAUCAAGGCAGUCACUUCUGGAAUUUUGCCAAAUCUAAAUAUGAUUAUAUUUCAUUGCAGGGUUCAUGGGAUCAAUAUUUUUCUUCGUAUGAAAGUCCUUAACACUUUAGUGUUCCAGAAGCUAAAGAAGAGGUAUAUAGAGAUAUUCUUAAGUCAUUUAGGCUUUAGGCUACAUUAAUAAUCUCUAGAAGAGGUAUAAGUAUCACAGGGGAAUUAUAGUAUAAGUUAAUUACUAAUGAAAUCAGAAAAGGUGUAUACUGCCUUCCAUUCUCUUCCAAAUGGGCAUGCCUAAGUUUGGUCGAAUUCACCUGAUAAAUAUGUAAAUGGUUUUACAAGCUGUCAUAUUUGGAUAGGUUUUGAGAAAACAGUACGUAAAGGGUUAGCUAACGCCCAAGUUUUCUUGCCAUUUACACAUGCAGUGCUGCCUACAUUUCCGUAGGCAGCAAGCACAGGCAUCAUUUUGAUUACUUGGAUUCUUUUGUUUAAUUUCUUACUAGACAUUUAACUCGGUACUCAAAUUCCACUGAUCUCUUAGUAACUGUAUUUGGAAAAGGAAAAUGAAGUUUCUAAUAUAGAGAAGUUUUAAAAAAUCCUGGGCAUUUGUAAGCAUCUGAAAAAUAGACUUUUUCGUGUAGCUAUGCAAAUACAUGUUUAGUGUGCAGAAACUUAGGUGCUAUUAUUAUCUGUCAUCUCCAUACUUAGUUUUCUGAUGAUUUGUGGUCAAAUACACACUGAAGCACAUAUGCAUAUAUUUAUUAUAUAUGUAUAUAUCUUCAUUUGUAAAAAGUCUCAAUAAAAUCAAUGUAAAAAUUGACAUAUUGUCAUAAAAUCAUCCACAGCAGCUUUUCAGUGAGUUAGCUUCAACUUUCAUUGCCUUUUCCCCAAAUCUCUCUUAUGUUAAAUGUAGCUUUACCGGAUGAAGUGCCUUACUAUCCGGAACUGUUAACUUGUAUGUAAUGUUUUACUUGUGGAAGUUUAAAAGCAGGUGAAACUUGAAGGUAAUGAUAUUAAGGGAAUGUAAGAUUAAAUAGUUUUGUUUUUAUAAUCAGUCAGCUAAUUUCAUGCAUGUUUUAUGGGGAAUUUAAAAGUGAAAAAUUCUCAUAUGGUGACAUAAAUCUUUCAUUGUUCAUAUAAGUAGUGUGAUUUUAAGUUUGUUACCUUAAUAGUUGAUUCCUAAAAAAGUGUAUGAAUAAUCAUGGACUGCAUAUCAGUUAGGUUAAUGAAAUAAGAAUAGUGACUUCCACUUUGCAUCUUAGUCUUUUAAGGUAUUUUGGCUUCUUUUAUGCAGGUGGAUUUAACCAUUCCUUUUUUCUAAGAAGUUUCUCCCUCUCUGUUGGUAGGUGUCUGAUGAUUUGUGAGCACCAAGUGACUAUUCUGUGGAAUCAUCUUUCCUUGCCAUUGAAUUAGCUUUCCCUAGGCCAUGAGUCAACAUCAAUGUUUUGUACAUCCAAAUUGCUGUUACAGGGAAAUGAUGCCAGAAGUCAGCCAAAGGAAGAGACACAACGCAGAGUCUGGAGGGUUCCAAAUGUGAAGCUGUCCUUGUUCCCAGGACCUGUUGCCCUUCUAGUAUUGAUCUGUGACAAUACGCAUGUGGUAACGCCAAGGGGGAAGCUUUUGUGAGCUUCAGCAUCCAGAGUUUUUAUUGAGGCUUCAUUGCAUAAGCAUGAUCGAUUGAUUUACCAGGUUUUCCAGAGGGUCCACCAUGAAAAACAGAGACGCCUGUCACUUGGAAAAUCCCAAGGGUUUAGAGGUUACCUCCCAGGACCUAUGUACAAAAAUGGCCACACCUCUUUUGGAUGAGGCCAAUUUCCUCACCAUGCAAUAUCAUUUACUAUUUUCUUGGGUAAAAUUCUCCGAUUCCUUAAUGUGACAUGAAAUAUAGCUUUAGAAGCUAAACAUAUCUUGGUUGCAUUUCUGUAGAUAAGUCCUAAUUUACCAAUGUUCUCUUUUGGGGUCCAGGCUUAGGGUAACUUUGAUAACAAAAUAUAUACCUUGUGUCACUACAAGCUACAUUGAAGUAUUACUACUGUAAAGUAUGAAAUAAUACUUUAGAGUCAGGGGUCAGACAGACAGAGAGAAUCCUGACAUUUAACAGCCAUUAGACCUUGUGAAUGCUACUUAUUCUUUUCUGAGCUUUCAUUUUUUCAUAGAGAGUUAAUAAUAUUCCAUAUAUUAUGGGAACUAAGUGAGAUCACAUGUAAAAUCUUUAAUGUAUCAUAGGACCUUAAUAAAUAUUAGUUCGUGUCUGGAAAAAAUGUUGGAUGAUAUGAAUUUGUGUUUGAGGGGUUAUCUUAGGCAACGUUUGCCUGUCCAGUCUUCUAGACUAGAUGUAUGCAUACAUUAUUAAAACAAAACAGAAUUCAUUCAAUUUAUCAAAUAUUUAUCUAAAUCCAACUGAGAAGUGUAAAGCAUUAUGCUAGCAACUUAGAAAAAGGCAGUUUCAGCCUUCCUGGAAUGAGAACAUUUUCAUUAAUAUCUUUGAUAUAAGUAGACCGCAGUAGGUGUUGAAUUAAGGUACAUAUCGGAUGCAGUGAUGGAAGUGCAAGAGAAAAAGAAAGUCUGACUGGGAUUAUUAGAGAAUGCUUCCCUAAGAAGGUGAUAUGUCUGAAAGGCCCAAUGUACUAGCAGGCUUUGAUAGCACUUUUAGGAAUAGUGAAUACCAUUUUUCAGAAUUUAUAAAUGUAUUUACUUGGUGAAAAGUGAAUUUUAUGACAAGGUAUAUAUAAAUUUAUCAUAAACAUAGGAACAGAUCAUAAAUCAAAUUAUCUUAUAUCAGAAAUAAGUUCUCUAAAAAUAAGAGGCAAUGUUAAAAAACUUUUAACUAAAAGCUUAAUCUUUGUAAUAAAAAUAUCUCGUUGAUUUUAAGGGAUGUAAAGAGAUUGCUUCUAUUCAUUGCAUUUUAAAAAUUCAGAGACUAAAAAAAAUUAAAAAAUAAAAAUCCA
This is a long non-coding RNA of Herpailurus yagouaroundi (jaguarundi), 7963 nucleotides long. RefSeq lists it as uncharacterized. The transcript is spliced from 7 exons. NCBI's taxonomy places the organism in Eukaryota, Metazoa, Chordata, Mammalia, Carnivora, Felidae. The record is from RefSeq and is a predicted model, not a curated record.